RNAcentral lists this unclassified non-coding RNA (249 nucleotides) under fungal sp. RNAcentral describes it as "partial internal transcribed spacer region". The stretch from base 1 to 46 matches the Rfam family "Eukaryotic small subunit ribosomal RNA", at positions 1786 to 1831 of the family's 1831-position model. Lineage: Eukaryota; Fungi. The record is from RNAcentral.
AAGUCGUAACAAGGUAACCGUAGGUGAACCUGCGGUUGGAUCAUUAUAAAUUUUCCUUAGGGUGAUGGACUAUUAUUUAAUUAACUGAAAAUCACCCUUUUGAGCAAACGUGCACUGUUUCCGUAUUUCCAAGUUUUUUUAUUAAGACUUGGGCCCAUUAAUUAACCCAACAUUAUUUUUUUAUGCCUGAAUUUUUUAUUUUAAUAAUAAAAAGAAAAACAACUUUUGACAACGGAUCUCUUGGCUCUC